CACCGGGACUUAUGCUAUCGAUGGUUGUGCAACAUUUUUCCGAAGGGACAGAUUUUCCCAUGUGAAGAAAUACGAGGUCGAAUUCAACAAGGCUGCUCAGUCACUGACAGAUGCUGUGGUCCCAAUCACUCAGAAGAAAGCUGCUUUGUCUCGACUUCUUAAGGAUAAUGUUGCGCUAAUAGCGGUUCUGGAAGCAAAAUUUAGCAACCACGGAGCCGAUACUCCUGGAAAGCGGCAGCUUCUUUGUGUGAUUUGUACUCUACCUGGAAGCAGUGCAGCAAAUAUGUACU
Molecule: long non-coding RNA, 290 nt
Organism: Papaver somniferum (opium poppy)
Lineage: Eukaryota; Viridiplantae; Streptophyta; Magnoliopsida; Ranunculales; Papaveraceae
Exons: 4
Source: RefSeq, a predicted model, not a curated record